RNAcentral lists this ribosomal RNA (498 nucleotides) under uncultured bacterium. RNAcentral describes it as "partial 16S ribosomal RNA". It matches the Rfam family "Bacterial small subunit ribosomal RNA", at positions 29 to 507 of the family's 1533-position model. The record is from RNAcentral.
AGCGAACGCUGGCGGCGUGCCUAACACAUGCAAGUCGAACGUGAAAAGGGAAACCUGAGUAAAGUGGCGUACGGGUGAGUAACGCGUAGGUAAUCUACCCCAGAAUCCGGAAUAACCUGCCGAAAGGCGGGCUAAUACUGGAUAGAGCGAGGGAACUCGUAAGAGAGUUUUUCGGGAAAGGGAGCCCGCAAGGGCCUUCGUUCUGGGAUGAGCCUGCGUCUCAUUAGCUAGUUGGUAAGGUAACGGCUUACCAAGGCGAUGAUGAGUAGCUGGUCUGAGAGGAUGAUCAGCCACACUGGAACUGAAACACGGUCCAGACUCCUACGGGAGGCAGCAGUGGGGAAUCUUGCGCAAUGGACGAAAGUCUGACGCAGCCACGCCGCGUGAGUGAAGAAGGCCUUCGGGUUGUAAAGCUCUGUCGGAUGGGACGAACAUCUUCAUAGUGAAUAGCUAUGAGGACUGACGGUACCAUCAAAGGAAGCACCGGCUAACUCCGUG